This 433-nucleotide ribosomal RNA is filed under the name uncultured bacterium. RNAcentral's name for it is "partial 16S ribosomal RNA". It matches the Rfam family "Bacterial small subunit ribosomal RNA", at positions 29 to 507 of the family's 1533-position model. The record is from RNAcentral.
AACGAACGCUGGCGGCAUGCCUAACACAUGCAAGUCGAACGAGACCUUCGGGUCUAGUGGCGCACGGGUGCGUAACGCGUGGGAACCUGCCCUUAGGUUCGGAAUAACUCCCCGAAAGGGGUGCUAAUACCGGAUAAUUUCUUCGGACCAAAGAUUUAUCGCCUUUGGAUGGGCCCGCGUUGGAUUAGCUAGUUGGUAGGGUAAAAGCCUACCAAGGCGACGAUCCAUAGCUGGUCUGAGAGGAUGAUCAGCCACACUGGGACUGAGACACGGCCCAGACUACUACGGGAGGCAGCAGUGGGGAAUAUUGGACAAUGGGCGAAAGCCUGAUCAAGCAAUGCCGCGUGAGUGAUGAAGGCCUUAGGGUUGUAAAGCUCUUUUACCCGGGAUGAUAAUGACAGUACCGGGAGAAUAAGCUCCGGCUAACUCCGUG